This 504-nucleotide ribosomal RNA is filed under the name uncultured microorganism. RNAcentral's name for it is "bacterial SSU rRNA". It matches the Rfam family "Bacterial small subunit ribosomal RNA", at positions 9 to 486 of the family's 1533-position model. The record is from RNAcentral.
GAGUUUGAUCCUGGCUCAGGAUGAACGCUGGCGGCGUGCCUAACACAUGCAAGUCGAGCGAAGCAUACGGGAGGAAGUUUUCGGAUGGAAUCCUGCAUGGCUGAGCGGCGGACGGGUGAGUAACGCGUGGGGUAACCUGCCUUAUACAGGGGGAUAACAGUUAGAAAUGACUGCUAAUACCGCAUAAGCGCACAGUACCGCAUGGUAGUGUGUGAAAAAACUCCGGUGGUAUAAGAUGGACCCGCGUCUGACUAGCCAGUUGGCGAGGUAACGGCUCACCAAGGCGACGAUCAGUAGCUGGUCUGAGAGGAUGAUCCGCCACACUGGGACUGAGACACGGCCCAGACUCCUACGGGAGGCAGCAGUGGGGAAUAUUGGACAAUGGGCGGAAGCCUGAUCCAGCCAUGCCGCGUGUGUGAAGAAGGCCUUUUGGUGUAAAGCACUUUAAGCGAGGAGGAGGCUACCUGGAUUAAUACUCUAGGAUAGUGGACGUUACUCGCAGAA